CUGCUUAUCGCUCUCUGUUUACAAACAUGACAAUCGCAGACGCGUGCUGCUAUAAAGACUACUAUAGCACGCGUCCGGAAUAACAUCCCAGACUCUGGGCUUAGAAAAUUCUGACCGCUAGCGUUAGCCGAGAACCGCAAGAUGUACAUCGAGAACCGGGAGGCUCGCCGUGUAAAUACAGCACCUGAAUCACAUUUUUCUGUUGCACAAUGUACCGAUAAUUUGAAAUACCAUUGGCAGAAGAAUUGGAGAAGUUGCCACAGCGUCCUUACAACUUCUUCGUCAGAUGUAAGACUAAUUUCCCAUCUUGAUUACUGGCUGCUCUAUGCACCUCUCCACAUCUAGAAGAGAGAAUUGUGAAGAUUCAAGAUGACUCUUGAGGAACUCACAGCUUAAGCGAGCCAUAAUUUAUAACAGAAGUGUGCAAAAUCAGUACUGGUAUAGUGGGUCACUGAAGUCAUUAUGUGAUUUGAAAGGGAUAAUAAUUAAAUGUGAAGUACACCUUGUUUAAGUCACCCUUUACCACAGAAUUUUCUGCUGUGAUAAUGACUUGCUAGUGUGUAAUAUUGAUCUGUCCAUCUCUCCCAACUUGAAAUUGUGGUUGUGAUAACAGACUGACCAGCCAAGGUCUAUGUUAGGUUGGAAGACUGCGUGUUUUAAGGUUGAUAAUGUGCAAGAGAAAACAGUGGAAAAUACUGAUCUUGCAGUUAAAAGUUGGCACUAGAUCAAGUAUUUAUGCAAUAUUUGAAAAAUACAGACAAAUGUUUAACUACAUAUUGUACUGUCUGAAAAAAAUAUCCAUCUUGUGACUACAGUUGUUAAAACAUUUGAUAAAUUUACAUAAUAGACACCAGAUUGCAUUUUUAGUAGUUUAUGUUCGAUAUAUGUGAGUAAUAUGCAUCAAUAUACUCAUCAGAGCCUUAUCCAUUACCUGUUUUCUGAAAUUACCCUACAGUUUUAGCUUUUAUUAUGAAAAAUAUGUUUAAACAUGUCAAGAAAAUUCCAGGCUACACUAUAGGUCUACUUAUUAGCACAACCUUUAUUUAGCUUUCACAUUCACUGGUUGCACCAAUUCUCAACCGAGUAUAAAAUUUGUCCCAGAGCAAAUUAGCGUCUUUGUUAAUUUCUUCGAGCACAAGUACGUAAUACACCCGUAUCAUGAGACACAAGGGUCUUAGAAUGAAAUACAAAUGUAGGUCAACAGAUGCCAUAUGGCAUCUAAUAUUAACUGCACUCUUUAGUUGCUACUUGUGACUUGUCACAGAAAUCACAGUUAAGACUCGAUAGCAUGUUGUAAAGAAACACAGUAGUAUGAACUUAAGCCAUCAGAUGGCACAUGGUGUUGAAUGUUAAUUGCGCUUCUUACUAUUUGUCACUGAAAUCCCAGCUAGACUCCGUAGCAUGACGCAAGGUUCACAGAAAGAAGAACAAAAUUUGGCCAACAGACGGCACACUGCGUUUACUGUUAAACGCUACUUGCGACUCCUAGUUGUGACUGAAAUUGUAGUUAGAGUCUGUAAAGUUGUUAUUGUGAUAUUUGUAACAGAUACGCGAUUUUGGUUCACCCCUAUUUCACCGAGUCUAGAGGGUAGUGCAGAAGAUUUAAGAGCCGUAUAUUCCAGGUUACUGCAUCUGCAUUACGUUUAACAGCAGUCAAUGAAAAAUAACCAAUAGAUCCCAAAGUGCCAAAUGUUUGGGUGUUUAUGUGCUCUUACACAGCAGCCACUGUUGGCUACAGACAGUUUUUUCUACACAGGAAUUUACUAAGAUAUAAAACCUUUCAAAGACAUAUAGCUUAAUCCAAAAAAAAAAAAAA
Schistocerca cancellata (South American locust) is the source of this 1816-nucleotide long non-coding RNA. RefSeq lists it as uncharacterized. The record is from RefSeq and is a predicted model, not a curated record. Lineage: Eukaryota; Metazoa; Arthropoda; Insecta; Orthoptera; Acrididae. The transcript has 3 exons.